AAUGAACGCUGGCGGCAUGCCUAACACAUGCAAGUCGAACGAUGGCUUCGGCCUUAGUGGCGCACGGGUGCGUAACGCGUGGGAAUCUGCCCUCAGGUUCGGAAUAACAGCGAGAAAUUGCUGCUAAUACCGGAUGAUAUCGCGAGAUCAAAGAUUUAUCGCCUGAGGAUGAGCCCGCGUAGGAUUAGCUAGUUGGUGUGGUAAAGGCGCACCAAGGCGACGAUCCUUAGCUGGUCUGAGAGGAUGAUCAGCCACACUGGGACUGAGACACGGCCCAGACUCCGACGGGAGGCAGCAGUGGGGAAUAUUGGACAAUGGGCGAAAGCCUGAUCCAGCAAUGCCGCGUGAGUGAUGAAGGCCUUAGGGUUGUAAAGCUCUUUUACCCGGGAUGAUAAUGACAGUAACGGGAGAAUAAGCUCCGGCUAACUCCGUGCCAGCAGCCGCCGUAA
RNAcentral lists this ribosomal RNA (449 nucleotides) under uncultured bacterium. Its description in RNAcentral is "partial 16S ribosomal RNA". It matches the Rfam family "Bacterial small subunit ribosomal RNA", at positions 29 to 523 of the family's 1533-position model. The record is from RNAcentral.